AUGGCGCUCUCCCUCGCGCGCAGCCCGCACCCCGCCGCCGCGGCGCCCUCGCUGCCCCGCUUUCAGGGGCGCAUUUCCCAGUACGCCCCGCUCCUCCACUCCCCUCGCCGCGCCUACCCCGGCCUCCGCCUCCGCCUCCCGGCCGCCGCCGUCGCGGCCUCCUCGCCCCCGGAGGCGCCGGCCGCCGAGCCCGCGGCCGCCGCGGAGGGGGACGAGGAGCUGGGGGAGACGCGGCGGAAGCUCUUCGUGGGCAACAUGCCGUUUACCUUCUCCGCCGCGGAGACAGAGAAGCUCUUCGCCGAGUGCGGCGUCGUCAAGGACGUCGAGGUUAUCAAGAUGAAGGACGGGAGGAAGAGGGGCUUCGCGUUUGUCACCAUGGCCACGGCCGAAGAGGCCGCCACCGCAGCGGAGAAGUUCGACGGCCACGAUGUCAUGGGAAGGAUCAUCAAGGUGGAAUUUUCAAAGAGUUUCAGAAAACCAGCUCCACCACCAUCUCCGGACACCAUUGUCGCGAAGUACAAGCUUUAUGUUUCCAAUCUUGCAUGGAAAGCAAGGUCUGCUGAUCUGAAGGAGUUCUUCUCACAGUUUAACCCAGUUUCUGCCAAUAUAGUCUUUGAAGAUAGAAAAUCAGCUGGGUAUGGUUUUGUUUCGUUUGGAACAAAAGAGGAAGCAGAGGCUGCUCUCACUGAACUCAAUGGAAAGGAACUUAUGGAAAGGCCUGUUAUCCUAAGAUGGCGGGAGGAUAAAGAAAGUGUGAAGGCUGAUGGUGAAGUUGAAGGCGUGAAGGUUAAUGAGCAGGCAGAAGGUGUGAUGGCUGAUGAAGGUGGUGAGGUUGAAGGUGAAGAUAAACAGUAG
RNAcentral lists this ribosomal RNA (855 nucleotides) under Triticum aestivum (bread wheat). RNAcentral's name for it is "partial small subunit ribosomal RNA". The record is from RNAcentral. Lineage: Eukaryota; Viridiplantae; Streptophyta; Magnoliopsida; Poales; Poaceae.